This 497-nucleotide ribosomal RNA is filed under the name uncultured bacterium. RNAcentral's name for it is "partial 16S ribosomal RNA". It matches the Rfam family "Bacterial small subunit ribosomal RNA", at positions 28 to 507 of the family's 1533-position model. The record is from RNAcentral.
GACGAACGCUGGCGGCGUGCCUAAUACAUGCAAGUAGAACGCUGAAGAGAGGAGCUUACUCUUCUUGGAUGAGUUGCGAACGGGUGAGUAACGCGUAGGUAACCUGCCUUGUAGCGGGGGAUAACUAUUGGAAACGAUAGCUAAUACCGCAUAACAAUGGAUGACACAUGUCAUUUAUUUGAAAGGGGCAAUUGCUCCACUACAAGAUGGACCUGCGUUGUAUUAGCUAGUAGGUGAGGUAAUGGCUCACCUAGGCGACGAUACAUAGCCGACCUGUGAGGGGGAUCAGACACACUGGGACUGAGACACGGCCCAGACUCCGUCGGGAGGCAGCAGUAGGGAAUCUUCGGCAAAGGGGGCAACCCUGGACGAGCAACGCCGCAGGAGUGAAGAAGGUGUUCGGAUCGGAAAGCUCUGUUGUAAGUCAAGAACGGGUGUGAGAGUGGAAAGUUCACACUGUGACGGUAGCUUACCAGAAAGGGACGGCUAACUACGUG